Molecule: ribosomal RNA, 160 nt
Filed under: uncultured eukaryote
Lineage: Eukaryota
Description: partial 18S ribosomal RNA
Rfam family: Eukaryotic small subunit ribosomal RNA
Source: RNAcentral
UGGUGGAGUGAUUUGUCUGGUUAAUUCCGUUAACGAACGAGACCUCGUCCUGCUAAAUAGUACGACGAAUCCUUUUCCAAAGGAUUCGGGCAAUUGAGCCAGAGUGACUUCUUAGAGGGACUAUUGGUGAUUUAGCCAAUGGAAGUUCGAGGCAAUAACA